This 459-nucleotide long non-coding RNA is filed under the name Fukomys damarensis (Damara mole-rat). RNAcentral describes it as "lncRNA (ENSFDAG00000026693.1)". Lineage: Eukaryota; Metazoa; Chordata; Mammalia; Rodentia; Bathyergidae. The record is from RNAcentral.
GCACUGGCCUGGGGUGUAGUUCUCUGCGUGAAGCCAUGAACACUAUGGGAGAGUUGCUAGAUACCCAAACUGAGCUUGGGGAGAAGUCUGCAACCUAUGACGUCAGAAAAGACGGGACACAGUCUGUGAGAAGUAACGGCAGAGAAAGAAGACGCAUCAGAGCACAUUUCGUGACCAGGCGCGGACAGAAGGAAGUUGGAGCCAUGUGUCAUGUCUUGUCUAAGAGGACUUUCCCGAAGUACAUUGAGACUCACGUGACGCAUGGGUAUGGACCUGGUCCUCAGGGACCUAGAGGGUGUUGGAGCCGGCAGCCUAAGCUGAGGUAUGGUGAAGGGCCCAGCAGGGAAGAUUCCAAACAAUCUGCACAGGAGUUACUUUUACCCAUUUCCCAGGAGCAGAGAGCCUGAGGCCACCGCACAAGCACCACAGCCCUUUGCCUUCCUUUUCCCCUUGGCCCCU